This 8314-nucleotide long non-coding RNA is filed under the name Sus scrofa (pig). Its description in RNAcentral is "lncRNA (ENSSSCG00060073252.1)". Lineage: Eukaryota; Metazoa; Chordata; Mammalia; Artiodactyla; Suidae. The record is from RNAcentral.
CCGUGGCAUAUGGAGUUUCCCAGGCUAGGGGUCUAAUCGGAGCUGUAGCUGCCAGCCUAUGCCAGAGCCACAGCAACUCGGGAUCCGAACCGCGUCUGCAACCCACACCACAGCUCAUGGCAACGCCGGAUCGUUAACCCACUGAGCAAGGGCAGGGAUCGAACCUGAAACCUCAUGGUUCCUAGUCGGAUUCAUUAACCAGUGCACCACAACGGGAACUCCCAACCUAGAGCUUUUGUUUGUGUUUUUAGGGCCACACCCUCGGCACAUGGAAGUAGCCAGGCUAGGAGUCAAUUCGGAGCUGCAGCUGCCAGCCUAUACCACAGCCACAGCAACGCCAGAUCUGAGCUAUGUCUGCGACCUACACCACAGCUCACGGCAAUGCUGGAUCCUUAACCCACUGAGCGAGGCCAGGGAUCAAACAGGCAUCCUCAUGGAUAUUAGUUGGGUUUGUUACCACUGAGCCACAGUGGGAACUCCUAGAGUUUCUUACAUCGCACCGCUAAAAUGAUAAUCAGGAUGCAUGUAUGUACAUCACUUGGCGUCACCCUAUUUAUAGACUCUUGUACACCUGCCUUUCUUCACCUAAUACCUUGGGAAUCGCAGGAUCUUGCCUCGUCAGCACAUUUGAGCUACGCUGUCCUUUUGAGCAGCCGCAUUAAUAUCUACCGAUGGCCAUUUGGGUUCUUUCUAGUCGUUAGCUAUUACAAAUAAUGCUGCAGCGAGCGUCUUGUUCACGUAUCUUAGAGGACUUCUGCCAGCACAGCCAUUGGAUAAAUUACUAGCAGAGUUGCUGAGUCAGAGGGCUCUUUUUAAGAACACUUAUGGGCGUGUGGAGGACGAGUUGGCAGGGCCACUGUACAGAGUCCAGCUGGAGGCCAUGGCAGUAAUUCUUGGGUGAGUGAUGGUGGUGGCUUGGAGCCAGGCUGAGGGGGCAGAAGCCCCCAGAGGCGCCGCGGGAGAGCGGAGAGAGGGGAAGCGAGCCCGAGUUGAGCCUGUGGGUUGGAGGCUGUGAGGAAACGGCCGUCAGUGAUGACCUUGCAGCUUGAGGCCUGGCCUGCAAAGAGGCCAGUAUUGCAGGGCAGGCCUUGGCCCUCGUCCCAGAACCUGGAGUGAGGACAACCCUCGUGGCUGGCCUUGGCCUGUCCCCCUGGGCCGUGGAGCUGAGCUGUGGAGCUUGGCACCCGCUCUUCUCUCUUCAAGUCCUUUGCAGCUGGUCUGUCUGCAAGUUGAGGCUGGCAGAACUGGUGUUUCUUGCCCCCCCUCUUUUUUUUUUGCUUUUUAGGGCUGCACCCUCAGCAUAUGGAGGUUCUCGGGCUGGAGUCUAAUCCGAGCUGCAGCCACCGGCCUACGCCAGAGUCAUGUCAAUGCAGGAUCCGAGCCGCAUCUGAGACCUACACACCGAAGCUCACCGCAAUGCUGAGUCCUUAACCCACUGAGCAAGGCCAGGAAUCAAACCCACAUCCUCAUAGAUGCUAGUCAGGUUUGUAACCUGCUGAGCCACGAUAGGAACUCCAGGACUGGUGUUUCUGUGCUCCCCGUGCAGGUGAGGAGCCUGAGGCCCAGACCUCAUGGGGUAGUGUGAAGAGCGGGGAAGGUCGCAUGUGAUGACAGCUGCCCCCUCCACUUCCCCAAAUCCCCAAAUCCCACCUGCCUCAUCCUCACCACCCUCUUACCUCCCUUUCUUCUAAACUCAGGGAGGGAGGAAAUAGGGGAUGAUGUUAAGGCGUUAUUUGGCCUCAGGAACAGACUACCGAGCACCCACCUAGUUAGAGUGAGUCUGGGGAAGGAAGCAGGACUGUGAGAGGAGGGGGUACACUGGUCUAAAAAUUGUACCAGAGGAACUCAGAUUGUUGCCACACCUGCGCCUGUGGAUGUUCCCAGGUCAGGGAUCGAACCUGAGCUACAGUUGCAGGCUGCACCACAGCUGCAGCAAUGCCAGGUCCUUAACCCAUGCCACCACGUGGGAACUUCCUAGGGACUUGGAUUUUUAAGCAACAUGCAUUUGGAACCAAUGUUUUGACACUGGCUUUGAGCACAUGUGAACACUCUCUCAUUUUGUCUUUGUCUUGGAGUUCUGGCUGUGGCGCAGCAAAAUUGGCGGGAUUUUGGGGGCACUAGCACUAGGACACGGGUUUGAUCUCCAGCCUGACACAGUGGGUUAAAGUCCUGUGUUGCUGCGGCUGUGGCUUAGAUUGCACCUGUGGCUCAGAUCUGAUCCCUGGCCCAGGAACUCCAUGUGCUACGGGGCAGCCAAAAAGGGGGAAAAUGUCCUUUUCAAUUUUUUAAUUUUUUUAAAUCUGCACCCGUGGCAUAUGGAAGUUCUAGGGCAAGGGGUCAAAUCAGAGCUGUAGCUGCCAGCCUACACCAGAGCCACACGGGAUCUGAGCCGCAUCUGUAACCUAUACCACAGCUUCUUCACAGCAAUACCAGAUCCUUAGCCCACUGAGCGGGGCCAGGGAUCGAACCCGUGUCCUCACGGAUGCUAGUCGGGUUCGUUACCACCGAGCCACGAUGCGGACGCCAGGUGUCUUGUUGAUCCAUUAGAAAGUUCUCAGAUCAUUCCCAGCAGGUGUCAGAGGACCGGAGCAACACCAUUUCUAAGAGUCCCCUGGUGCAGUUUCCACUCAGAUGCUGGGUCUCCUCAUGUGCAAAGUGGGGAUAAAGCCCCACAUCCCCCUCGGAUUCGGCCCACUUUCGGAUUACCAGCUGCAUUUGAUCAGGAGGUUUCCAGUAGGUGCAACUGGAAAAGCCCCGUGGAGAGGUGAGGUUACUUUGGGGCGCCUUUAGGCUGUGGGUCCUUUCCCAAGCCGGCUCUGGCUGGGUGCUUGACAGACGCUCUGCCCCUCAGCCGCAGGCCCAAGGCUGGCACGGGAGCAGGCGGGGGUCACCUCAGGCUUCAGACAGCAUCGCCUUGCUUCGUCUUUGGCUUCGGGAGAAAGCAUGUGUGGGACGUGAGGGUCUGACCCUCCUCCCCUGGACGUGAAACACAGUCCCCGUGACUCAGGGGGCCUGGCUGCCACAAGACGCCCCCGCUCCAGGGCCCUUCUCCCCAGGGAUGUCGGGGAGCCUCCAGCAACUCCCAGGGCGCACGCCUCGGCUCAGGGCCCGAGUUCCCAACCACUUGCCUCACUCAUCUCACAAGUGUCCCUGAGCGUCUGGCCUGUGGCAGGUGUGCCGCAAGGCCCUGGGUGAGCAGUGAGCUCAACAAGGUCCCUGCUGUCUCCGAGGGGACAUCCCAGUGUCAGAGGACGCGCAGGAAAAUGUUCCCGGGAGCGGACUCAGGUGGAAGCUCACUGGGGAGCAGCCCGCAGAGACCUGCGAGCAGGUGAGGGGGGCAUGGCUGAAGCCCUGCGGACCCUGCAGAGAGCCUGGAGCCGGGGGCCCUUCGGAGUUGUUCCGAAUGGAGGCGAAGCGUGGGGCCCUGAGGUCCACACCGGGCACUGGCCACCAGCCUCAGCCGGGGCGGAGGUGAAACCGUGGGAGAGGCAGUUCCCUGGGGCCCAGGGCUGUGCCCAGGCAGGGAUGCAGUGUGAGCCGUCAACUACUGGGGAUGGGGUGUGGCCCGCACAGGGCGAGGCCUCAGGGGGAGGGGACAUUUGAGUGGACACCGAGGUGUGGGGGGCAGGCUGGGAAGACAGCGGGGGACAAUGCCGCAGCUCUGGGAUGGGUGUAGGGUUGGUGCGUCUGUGGAAGAGCGAGGAGGCAAGGGAGCGCCCGAUGGAGCUCGGGCUCCAGCACCAGGACCCCUGGCAGCCUGCCCCUCCCCGCUGCGCUCCCGGAACUGGGUCUGGCGGAAGGAAUUAAAGGCACAGGCGAGCAGCGUCUACAGAGACAUCCUUUAAAGGUGACGGAGCAGGCAAAAGCUAAGAGGGACUCUGAGGUCAGUGUGAGUUUGCUCUAAUCCUAGUUCUGCUCCUGAGAAGGGGCUUAUUUAUCGUCCCCUCUGCCCUUGACCUGAAACCCCAGGUACGUACCCCCUCAUGCCAUACAUGCCCGCACCUAUACUUCCCUCAGCUGGCUUACACACGUCCAGUGAUGGGGAGCUUACUACCUCCAUGCCAGCCUCUCAUUCUGUGACAGGAGGAAUGUCUUUCUAUAGUUCCAAUGCCAGAGUCCCAGCUCUGCCCUCCAUCCAUUCUCAGUCAGGGGGGUUGCUCCGUAGAAAUUCUUUUAGUUUUUUUGCCUUUCAGGGCCACACCUACGGCACAUGGAGAGUUCCAGGCUAGGGGUCAAAUCGGAGCUGCAGCCAUUGGCCUACACCACAGCCACAGCAACUCAGCAUCUGAGCCGUGUCUGCGCAAGGCCAAGAAUCGAACACGGCCUCAUGGGUACCAGACAGGUUCGUAACCCACUGGGCCACAGUGAGAACUCCCUAUCCAAAAGAGAUUUGAAGAUGGAAAUUACAGGCAUUAAAGCCCAUAGCCCCCUGUCUGCCUCCCACUGACCUUCUAACCCAUGACACUCAAGCCACAGCUUACUUGGGCCACCUGCCGCAGGCCAUAUCACAGGGCAGGGCCGAGGACGGCAGGGUAGAGGGGCCAGCCUCUCACGUGUCGGCCUCUGCCUUCCUUAUUGCCAUAUGGGAUCAGCCUGUUCCAUGCCAGACACUCUGGUCACAGCUCCUCAUACCUAAAGCCUGUAUCCAGGGGGUGGGCUUUCGUCCAGGGCAAGAGACGAGCCUGACCAGAGCAGCAUAGCCCCCCUGGCUUUCUGCCACCCACCCCACAGCACACACACACACACAGGUCCCCUCAUCCUUAGCUGGGCCAAAAUGGAACAAUAGGCCAGGCAUGGGGACUGAGCCCUGAGGUUCCCCGCCACAGACCUGCUCUAGGAGAGUCCCACCGUUCAGCCCCGCCCCCCUUUUCUUUAAUUUUUAGUUUUUAUUUUAUUUUUUGUCUUUUUGUCUUUUCUAGGGUUGCUCCUGCGGCAUAUGGAGGUUCCCAGGCUAGGAGUCCAAUGGGAGCUUAGCUGCCGGCCUAUGCCAAAGCCACAGCAACGUGGGAUCCAAGCCAUAUCUGCGACCCACACCACAGCUCACGGCAACGCCAGAUCCUUAACCCACUGAGUGAGGCCAGGGACCGAACCCGCAACCUCAUGGUUCCUAGUCAGAUUCGUUAACCACUGAGCCACGACGGGAACUCCCAGCCCCCUUUCUAAGUACCUCGUGUGUGCCAGGCCUCGUGCUCGGAGCCAGAGAUGCCAAACAGGGUCCUCCCCAGAGCUCGUAGUUUGCGGUGGGCAAUGACAGAGCUGUGAGUCUCCUCUGGAUCCAAAAAGGCCACCUCUUUCCCCAAGCUGUGCACCUACCCACAGGUGACGGCACGCAGUGGGCACGCGUGCAGGGGUGACUGUUCAACAAAUUGCCACAAACUCUGUGAAUGCUCGCUAAGCACAGGCCAGGCCCCAGGCCUUGUGCUGGGUGAUGGCAGGACAAAGGACACGCAGACACGGUCCCAGUCUGAUGGGACACUGAGCCAUCACAGCACAGGGGCCGUGGGGGCCCAGAGAAGGCCUCUCCCUUGGCCCAGAAGACUUCCUGAAAGAAGGUCCCUUUGCGCUGGAUUCUAAAGGACAAACAGGCGCCGGGGAGAGGGAACAGCGGGAACAAAGGCCCAGGGGCAGCGAGGCCUCGGGUGCUGCACAACUGGAGCGUGAAGCGCUGAGGAAGAGAACAAGCCGGAGCGGCCUGCGGGGUCGGAGGGAGGUGAGGACUGUGCCCCGGGGCCCGGGCAGCACACGCACCCCUCCCCCAGCCCCAAGCUUCCCACACUGACUCCGGGGCACCUCGCCCCCCCUCGCUUCUCUGCCUCCUUUGCUGGUUCCUCCUGUUCCCCAGGGCCAGCCCUCUGCCCCUUCUCCAUCCGCUUUCCAGACCAUCUCCUGGCUUCAAAGAGCAGCUGAAUCCGAGCAGCUGAAUCGAGCUCUGUUUCGAGCCCAGUCCUGCCUGCUUGACGUCUUUACCUGGAUGCGGAGCAAGCAUCUCAUGGAGCAUCACCUCAUCCGCUCAUCCCACAGCCUGCCCCGCCUCAGAGAAGGGCAGUUCCAGCCUCCGGGUCUGUUUUGCUCACUUCUGUAAUCAUGCAGGGCCUGGUGCCCCAUACUUGCAGGAAGGGACAGAAGGGAGAGUUUUCAGGAUGCUCAGAAGUGAGAUCUCUGAGGCGUUGGAAGGGCUGAGGAGGAGGCAGGAAACCGAACAUCCAGGUAACAGAUGCCAAGGACUUGGGCCCCCCUGGCACCAGGGAUGGAGUGGGAAGUGCCAGUGUGGGCAGAAUGGACCCUUGUUCUGGCCUUUUGUUUCCUGCGCCCGUGCCCAAUGAGCCCAGGGCAAGAGUUGGGCACAUCUGCGUCUCGCCCUUUCUCCUGCCCUGCCCAGCCCUGUCCCAGCCCCGGGCACCCCAGCUCCACUCAGUUCAGGGCAGAGCCCUUGCAGAAGCAGGGGAUGUGCUCUGGGCUCUGGCCCCUGAGUCUGAGAAAUCCUCAAGGGACAGGGAGUAGAGGCUUGGGGUGGGGCGAUCCCCAGGGUCACCCCCAGACCAUGAAGCUGAACGCCCCGGCCAAGCCCAAGCUGGAGUCCUGCUCUGCUCUGUGCCUUGGCCCUCGCUGACCGCCCACCCUGCAUGCCUCCAACCUCUUCCUGCCCUUGGCCAGACCCUGCUGGCAUCAGCUGGUUUGCUCAAGGCUCUCAGUGCCCAGCCAGAAGGGACAGGGCGGGCAGUCUCUAGCUAGGUCAGCUUUUCCUGACUCAGGCCUGGCCCUCACUCGGGGCCCUCAGGCUGGCAGGCCCCUUGGCUAAAGCCUCGUGGGCAGUGAUGACCUGUGGGAAAGCAGCUGCCAGGCUGGGACCCGGCCUGUCUGCUUCCGCCCGUUUCAGCGAUGGGCUAAAGCCCUUCUCCAUGAAAGAGGAGGAAUGACAGCUGCCUUCUGCCUCUCACUCUGGGGCCCUCUCCUGGCUGCACAACUGGGUCUGGCCUGGCCCUGUUCUCGAUCAGCCUGCGCAGGGCAGGGAGGCGAAUGCGCUCUGGGGACAGGAGCCUGACCUCUCCUCAAAGAUCUGCCGAGAAGGCCAACCCUGAACCAGCCCUCACCACGGCUGCCUCUGCUCCCACCUGCCCCGGGGUCCUGCUCCAGGGAACUAUGGAGGUUCGACGGUCAUCCCUGCCUCAUCCAUGGCCCGGCGCUGGCCCGGCACACGACAGUUGCUCGGAGCUCUUCAAAGUGUGCGUGCAGGUCAGUCCCAGCCUGAGCCUCCUCAUCUGUCCGACAGUGACGUGUGUCCAGUAGCUCAGAGGUGGGAAGAUCCUACAAACUUGGUCCUGGGGCGGGAAGGGCGAAUGGCAUCUUCUCAUCCCUGCCACUCCCAUCGCACCGUUGAGACUCGCCCCGAGUCACACCACCACCAAGAGCGAACGCUGCUGCUCGUACUACUUAAAGGCACUGUUCUAACACUUUCCAAAUGUAACACCUUCGUAACCACCACACACAGGGAAACUGUCAUCCCCAUUUUAUGGAAGAGGAAACUGAGGACAGAGGUAAGAACUAACUUGCCCAUGGCCACACGAUAAGCCGCAGUAAAGGCAGGAUCUCGAACUGGUCCCUUCAGCCUUGCAAAGGUGGGCUGAGGCCAUGCUCGGACACUGCGUUUCCCACCCCUUGUCUGCAGGCCUGGAUGAGGGACCCAGAGCUCCAGGGAAGCGGAAAGCGCUACUGCUUUUUUUUUCUUCUUCAGGGCUGCACCCACAGCAUGUGGAGGUUCCCAGGCUAGGCGUCCAAUGGGACCUGUAGCCGCCGGCCUACGCCACAGACACAGCAAUGGGGGAUCCAAGCCGUGUCUGCGAACUACACCACAGCUUACGGCAAGGCCGGAUCCUUAAGCCACUGAGCGAGGCCAGGGAUCGAACCCGCAACCUCAUGGUUCCCAGUCGGAUUCGUUAAGCACUGAGCCACGACGGGAACUCCUACUUUCUAAAUGUUGAUCAAAUUGGAAUCCACUGCUGCUGAACUACCCCCGUCCUCACUAGUUCUUGCCUAGACAGCGGCUGAGACCGAGUCUCCCUACGUGUGUCCAGGCCCACCCAACUAUCUUCCAGGACGCAGCCUGUACCAUCUUCUGAGUCAAGUCCAGGAGUUCCCGUUGCGCCUCAGUGGUGACGAACCUGACUAGUAUCCAUGAGGACCCAAGUUCGAUCCCUGGUCUUGCUCCGUGGGUUAAUGAUCUGGCGUGACUGUGGCGUAGGCCGCCAGUUGCAGCUGUGAUUCAACACCUAGCCUGGGAACUUCCAUAUGCAGCAGGUGCGGCCUAAAAAAAAAA